AGAACAUUCCAUAGAUCUGGCUAAACAAGGUAGGGACACAACAUUCCAUAGAUCUGGCUAAACAAGGUAGGUAUAGAACAUUCCAUAGAUCUGGCUAAACAAGGUAGGUACAGAACAUUCCAUAGAUCUGGCUAAACAAGGUAGGUAUAGAACAUUCCAUAGAUCUGGCUAAACAAGGUAGGUACAGAACAUUCCAUAGAUCUGGCUAAACAAGGUAGGUACAGAACAUUCCAUAGAUCUGGCUAAAC
Long non-coding RNA from Mytilus californianus (California mussel), 248 nucleotides. RefSeq lists it as uncharacterized. The record is from RefSeq and is a predicted model, not a curated record. The transcript has 5 exons. Lineage: Eukaryota; Metazoa; Mollusca; Bivalvia; Mytilida; Mytilidae.